GACGAACGCUGGCGGCGUGCUUAACACAUGCAAGUCGAGCGGGGAUUGAUGAAGUGCUUGCACGGAUUCAAUUCUAGCGGCGGACGGGUGAGUAACGCGUGAGCAAUCUGUCCUACACAGGGGGAUAACACUUGGAAACAGGUGCUAAUACCGCAUAAGACCACGGGGUCGCAUGGCUCUGAGGUAAAAGAUUUAUCGGUGUAGGGUGAGCUCGCGUCUGAUUAGCUAGUUGGUGAGGUAACGGCCCACCAAGGCGACGAUCAGUAGCCGACCUGAGAGGGUGAUCGGCCACAUUGGAACUGAGACACGGUCCAGACUCCUACGGGAGGCAGCAGUGGGGAAUAUUGGGCAAUGGGCGCAAGCCUGACCCAGCAACGCCGCGUGAAGGAAGAAGGUUUCGGAUUGAAACUUCUGUCCUUGGUGACGAAGAAAGUGACGGUAGCCAAGGAGGAAGCCCGGACUAACUACGUG
Molecule: ribosomal RNA, 471 nt
Filed under: uncultured bacterium
Lineage: Bacteria
Description: bacterial SSU rRNA
Rfam family: Bacterial small subunit ribosomal RNA
Source: RNAcentral